AUUCUAUCGCAGUGGCAUUAUCAUAGCCUAUGAGGUCCAUCCGAGGAGUGGUUAUUGUUGGGUGACAACUUAACCCAAAACUCUACAUUGGACCGACAUGAAAUAUAGUCAGAAGUAGUCUUGGGGAGAAUAGGUUC
Molecule: small nuclear RNA, 137 nt
Organism: Oncorhynchus nerka (sockeye salmon)
Lineage: Eukaryota; Metazoa; Chordata; Actinopteri; Salmoniformes; Salmonidae
Product: U4 spliceosomal RNA
Exons: 1
Source: RefSeq, a predicted model, not a curated record